This is a long non-coding RNA of Nicotiana tabacum (common tobacco), 1589 nucleotides long. RefSeq lists it as uncharacterized. The record is from RefSeq and is a predicted model, not a curated record. NCBI's taxonomy places the organism in Eukaryota, Viridiplantae, Streptophyta, Magnoliopsida, Solanales, Solanaceae.
UAACCACCUUUUAGAGAAUUCCAAAAAUAAAUGCCAGCACUUAAAUUGUUUUGUUUAUUAUUUAUUUACCCUAGGUUUAAUCUCAGCCAUAUAUAGAUUCUAACCCAGCGACCAUGAUCCCUUCUUAGAUAAAAUCUCAAUACCUAGUUUGACUAGGGUUUUUCACUUGCUUUUCUCUUUAUUUCUCUCUCUUUGCGAGUCAUCCUUUAUCUCUAUCUCCAAUUUUGGCAAAUUUGACCAUAGUAAUUCAAAACCAGAGGUGAAAUCUCUUUUUUAUUUAUCUUCUGAUUUCCCCUCUGCCAAAAGGUGUCCUUGAAGAUUUGUAACGUUUGAAAUUCAAAUGUUUAUGACUGAAAUUGGAACCAAAAUUCCGCUCAAAUUCCAAGUCUAAACCCUAACUUGUCCUUAGAAAUACCAGCCAUUAAAAAGUUUCCGGGAGAACGUUCUUGGCUACCUCAAAUCCUAACUCUACUGCUCUUCUAUCAUUUUCACUCCUCAAAAUCAUUCUUAAAACUUGGUUCUUCCCUUCUUGUAUUCUCUCUGUUUCUGUUGGUUUUCUAACCAAAUCAGAAGCAAUUUUGCUACUCGAACGUAGCUUGAGGUAGCAAGGUCGAGGUUAGAGUUUGAUAGCAGAUCGAAGGACUGAGUUCACUACCCCGUAAAAGAUUUGAUGAUGAAUGAUGUCUCCGAUUGUCUUUGGAGUUUUGAUGACGAAUGAUACCUCCGGUUGUGUUCGGGGACUUGAUGAUAGAGUAUGCUUGUAAAAUCUUGGGUAAAGUUGCCAGAUAUGUCCAAUUAGAGGGUAGACGAGCCAAUAGGUCCUAUUCAAGGGCAGACGAACUCAGUAUGUCCUAUUUAAGGGCGGACAAAUCCAAAUAUCCUAUUAAAGGCGAAUAAGCCUAAAUGUCCUAUUAAAGGCGAAUAAGCCUAAAUGUCCUAUUUAAGGCGGACGGGCCUAAAUGUCCUAUUGAAGGCGGACGAGCCUAAUAUCCUAUUGAAGGCAGAUGAGCCUUAAAUGUCCUAUUAAAGGCGGACCAUCUUAAAUGUCCAAUUGAAGGUAGACGAGCCUAAAUGUCCUAUUAAAGGCAGACGAGCCUAAAUGUUCUAUUGAAAGCGGACAAGCCUAAAUGUCUCGUUGAAGGUGGACGAGCCUAAAUAUCCUAUUAAAGGAGGAUAAGCCUAAAUUUUCUAUUGAAUGCGGACGGGCCUAAAUGUCCCUCCAAUUGUGGUUGGUAGAUUGAUGUUAAUGAUGCCUCCGAUUGUCUUCGGAGAUUGUAUGAUGAAUGUAAAGUCGCGGUUAAAGUUGCAUGUAAAGUUCAAGAUAAAGUCAUGAAGUCGUAAAAUAAUAAUAAAGUAAGGUAAAGUCAAUGAUAAAGUAUGAAUGAAGCCGUUUGGCUUAUGAAGAUGAUGUCGUCCAAAUGAUACUCCGGUUGUCUUUGAAGAUUGAUGUUGAAUGAUGCUUCCAUUUGUCUCUGAAAACUUGAUGAUUAUUCCUGUAAAGUUUAGGAUAAAGUCAUAAAGUUAAAAGUGCAUGAUAAAGUAGUGAUAGUGUGAAUAAUAAAGUAAGAAUGAAGUUGUUUGUCUUAUGA